Molecule: ribosomal RNA, 396 nt
Filed under: uncultured bacterium
Lineage: Bacteria
Description: partial 16S ribosomal RNA
Rfam family: Bacterial small subunit ribosomal RNA
Source: RNAcentral
AUAUUGUACAAUGGGGGCAACCCUGAUCCAGCAAUGCCGCGUGAGUGAAGAAGGCCUNNNGGUUGNACAGCUCUUUUACCCGGNAAGNUAAUGACUGUACCGGGAGAAUAAGCCCCGGCUAACUCCUUUCCAGCAGCCGCGGUAAUACGGAGGGGGCUAGCGUUGUUCGGAAUUACUGGGCGUAAAGCGCGCGUAGGCGGCUUGCCAAGUUGGGGGUGAAAUCCCGGGGCUUAACCCCGGAAUUGCCCUCAAAACUGGCAGGCUUGAGGUCGAGAGAGGUAAGGGGAAUUCCUAGUGUAGAGGUGAAAUUCGUAGAUAUUAGGAAGAACACCAGUGGCGAAGGCGCCUUACUGGCUCGAUUCUGACGCUGAGGUGCGAAAGCGUGGGGAGCAAACA